GAUGAACGCUGGCGGCGUGCCUAAUACAUGCAAGUCGAGCGAACGGACGAGAAGCUUGCUUCUCUGAUGUUAGCGGCGGACGGGUGAGUAACACGUGGAUAACCUACCUAUAAGACUGGGAUAACUUCGGGAAACCGGAGCUAAUACCGGAUAAUAUUUUGAACCGCAUGGUUCAAAAGUGAAAGACGGUCUUGCUGUCACUUAUAGAUGGAUCCGCGCUGCAUUAGCUAGUUGGUAAGGUAACGGCUUACCAAGGCAACGAUGCAUAGCCGACCUGAGAGGGUGAUCGGCCACACUGGAACUGAGACACGGUCCAGACUCCUACGGGAGGCAGCAGUAGGGAAUCUUCCGCAAUGGGCGAAAGCCUGACGGAGCAACGCCGCGUGAGUGAUGAAGGUCUUCGGAUCGUAAAACUCUGUUAUUAGGGAAGAACAUAUGUGUAAGUAACUGUGCACAUCUUGACGGUACCUAAUCAGAAAGCCACGGCUAACUACGUGCCAGCAGCCGCGGUAAUACGUAGGUGGCAAGCGUUAUCCGGAAUUAUUGGGCGUAAAGCGCGCGUAGGCGGUUUUUUAGUCUGAUGUGAAAGCCCACGGCCUCACCCGGUGGAGGGUCAUUGGAAACUGGAAAACUUGAGUGCAGAAGAGGAAAGUGGAAUUCCAUGUGUAGCGGUGAAAUGCGCAGAGAUAUGGAGGAACACCAGUGGCGAAGGCGACUUUCUGGUCUGUAACUGACGCUGAUGUGCGAAAGCGUGGGGAUCAAACAGGAUUAGAUACCCUGGUAGUCCACGCCGUAAACGAUGAGUGCUAAGUGUUAGGGGGUUUCCGCCCCUUAGUGCUGCAGCUAACGCAUUAAGCACUCCGCCUGGGGAGUACGACCGCAAGGUUGAAACUCAAAGGAAUUGACGGGGACCCGCACAAGCGGUGGAGCAUGUGGUUUAAUUCGAAGCAACGCGAAGAACCUUACCAAAUCUUGACAUCCUUUGACAACUCUAGAGAUAGAGCCUUCCCCUUCGGGGGACAAAGUGACAGGUGGUGCAUGGUUGUCGUCAGCUCGUGUCGUGAGAUGUUGGGUUAAGUCCCGCAACGAGCGCAACCCUUAAGCUUAGUUGCCAUCAUUAAGUUGGGCACUCUAAGUUGACUGCCGGUGACAAACCGGAGGAAGGUGGGGAUGACGUCAAAUCAUCAUGCCCCUUAUGAUUUGGGCUACACACGUGCUACAAUGGACAAUACAAAGGGCAGCGAAACCGCGAGGUCAAGCAAAUCCCAUAAAGUUGUUCUCAGUUCGGAUUGUAGUCUGCAACUCGACUACAUGAAGCUGGAAUCGCUAGUAAUCGUAGAUCAGCAUGCUACGGUGAAUACGUUCCCGGGUCU
RNAcentral lists this ribosomal RNA (1373 nucleotides) under uncultured bacterium. RNAcentral describes it as "bacterial SSU rRNA". It matches the Rfam family "Bacterial small subunit ribosomal RNA", at positions 28 to 1381 of the family's 1533-position model. The record is from RNAcentral.